GGCGUGCUGGCGCAAUGGUAGCGCGUGUGCCUCCUAAGCACAAGGUUGCAGGUUCGAGUCCUGCGUACGUCG
This 72-nucleotide transfer RNA is filed under the name Corynespora cassiicola Philippines. It matches the Rfam family "tRNA". From Rfam's summary of the family: Transfer RNA (tRNA) molecules are approximately 80 nucleotides in length. Their secondary structure includes four short double-helical elements and three loops (D, anti-codon, and T loops). Lineage: Eukaryota; Fungi; Ascomycota; Dothideomycetes; Pleosporales; Corynesporascaceae. The record is from Rfam by way of RNAcentral.